Molecule: long non-coding RNA, 612 nt
Filed under: Setaria viridis
Lineage: Eukaryota; Viridiplantae; Streptophyta; Magnoliopsida; Poales; Poaceae
Description: long non-coding RNA (SVIR_LNC007447)
Source: RNAcentral
CUAAACAAGGUUAAAAUCCAAACAUCCUGACUCUGUUUUCCUCUGCCCAAAGACUUGGCACUGAUGAUAGAAGGAUCCCAGCUUAGUCGAACAGGCUGAAGCCCAUGUCCUGCAAAGGCAUAUCGAACAAAACAAUUAGUUGUUGAACCAAGUUUGAUAAAAGCCACACUCUUACUAUAGCCCCUAGAACAGCAAGACUAGAUGGUAUAUGGAAUGACACAAAAUUUGCGUAAAGGCGAGGCAUUUGCUACAAGAGAACAUAUGAAAGAUACGUCAACAUAGGCAAUAAAAAUCAGGCAUUACUACAAGAUAACAUAUGAAAGCCUUUUGUGUACCACCUGAUCGUAGCAUUCUAACAGGAAGCAUAAUGGAUACUAAAACAAACAUGGGCAAUAAAAAUGAGCUUACAUCAUCACUCUCUUCCUUCUCCUCCACCUUCUCUUCCUUCUUAGCCUCAGCCGCAGGAGCAGCACCACCACCAGCAGGAGCAGCAGCCGCAACAGCAACACCACCGCCGCCGCAUGGGACUGAAGCAAACUUCUCCCUACCGGCAGCAAUGAGCUCAGUGAUGUCCUUACCACUCAGCUGGGACAGCAGUAGCUCCAUCUUUUC